AGAGCUUGGAAUCCGUCUCUGCUCUUCUGCAUUCUCCACCUCGGGAGCCCCUGGGGACUCUGUGACGGCCUCUGUUGCCCUGUGAUCUGCAGGUCCGGAGAGACGCACAGCUAAGAUGUCAGGACAUCCUGGAAGCUGGGAAAGGGUCUUGCCAUCUCUAAGCUGGACCUGGUGACCUUUUUGGAGGGAAAGAAAGAGCCCUGGACUGUGAAGAGUGAGGAGACCAUAGCUGCACAGCCAGAGAUGGGGUUCCAUCAUGUUUUCCAGGCUGAUCUCAAACUCCCACGGUCAAGCGAUCUGCUGGCCUCGGCCUCUCAAGUCCAGAUGUAUAAUCUCAUCCCUGAACAUUUCUGAUGGUGUGAUUAUGACAUGUGACUUUAUCUGGCAACAGAGUGAGUUGUUGCUCCCGCCUGAGCCCAGCCCCCAGAAAGGAUUGUGACAUAUCGUUGGACCCAGAAUUGAGGUGGAAUUGUGACAUAUAACUUGGCCAAGCACACAGAUGUAAUGGUGUGGUGACUCUCAUACCUAGAACUGGGACCUGUGCAGGAUUGUUAAUUCAUUACUGGACAUUCCUGUGGGUGUGAUUGUUACAUAUGCCUAUGUUCAGCACCCGAGUGAUUUGAUUUUGCUGCCUGGUCUCAGUCCAAAUGUAAGAUUGUGAUUUAUCGCUGAAUCCAGCACCUCGGUGAUUUGACUCUCCCUUUUUUUGUGGGAGGGAUCCUGCAAAUUUUGGGUAUUGUCAAUUAUUGCUGAAUCCUGUACCCAUGUUAUGACUCUCCCAAAUGUGCCUUACCUGUUGUGGCACAAUAUAUCACAUUAGACAUUGUUAAAUAUUGUUGGGUUCAACACCUGGGUGAUGGAUGUAACUUUUUUUCUGGGCCUGCCUACAGGGGACCUUGUGACAUAACUCAAUGCCCAUCAUCAUGGUAAUGUUACUCUCUUCUCCUGCCUGAUCUCUGCUCACAGAGAAAUUGUGACACAUCACUGGCCUAGCAUCUAGGUGAUGUGACUCUCCUCUUUUUUUCAGGCUCUGCAUAUUUGGGUAUUGUGACAUAUUGCUGAACUCAACACCUAAGGGAUGGGAGUCUCCUACCUAGGCCCUUCCUACAGGGGACAUUGUGACAUGUCUCUGCAUUCCUCAUCCAGGAGAUGUGACUCUCCUUUUCUGCCUACACCCUGCCUACACAGAAAGUUGUGGCAUAUUGCUGUGGUCAGCAACCAGAUGAUAUAUUUCUCCUGCCUGGGUCUUUAUUACAGGAAAGAUGAUUGACAUAUUACUGGGCCCAGCAUCCAGAUGAUGUGACUCUCUUCUUCUGUUGGUCCUUGCUUACAGGGAAACUGUAGCAUAUUGCUACACCCAACACCUAGCUUAUGUGAUUCUUCUUUUAGGUUUGCCUUCAGGGAACAUUGUGACAUAUUGCUGGGCCCUGCACUGAUAAUUUGUGACUCUUCUGCCUGUGAUUUGCCCACUUGGGGCAUUGUGACAUAUUGCUGGGUUUAACACUCAGGUGAUGUAACUUUUAUGCCUAGGCCUUGCUUACAGGAGGCAUUUUGAAAUGUCUUUGUGGCUGGGCAUGGUGGCUCAUGUCUGUAAUCCCAGCGCUUGGGGAGGCCAAGGUGGGCAGAUCACAAAGUCAGGAGUUCGAGACCAGCCUGGUCAACAUGGUGAAAACCUGUCUCUACUAAAACAAAACAAAACAAAACAAAACAAAA
Molecule: long non-coding RNA, 1713 nt
Organism: Homo sapiens (human)
Lineage: Eukaryota; Metazoa; Chordata; Mammalia; Primates; Hominidae
Source: Ensembl